RNAcentral lists this ribosomal RNA (443 nucleotides) under uncultured bacterium. RNAcentral describes it as "partial 16S ribosomal RNA". It matches the Rfam family "Bacterial small subunit ribosomal RNA", at positions 338 to 795 of the family's 1533-position model. The record is from RNAcentral.
CCUACGGGUGGCAGCAGUGGGGAAUAUUGGGCAAUGGGCGCAAGCCUGACCCAGCAACGCCGCGUGAAGGAAGAAGGCUUUCGGGUUGUAAACUUCUUUUCUCAGGGACGAAGAUAGUGACGGUACCUCAGGACUACGCCACGGCUAACUACGUGCCAGCAGCCGCGGUACUACGUAGGUGGCAAGCGUUUUCCGGAUUUAUUGGGUGUAAAGGGCGAGUAGGCGGGAAAGCAAGGCAGAUGUGAAAACUCAGGGCUCAACCCCGAGCCUGCAUUUGAAACUGUUGUUCUGGAGUGCUGGAGAGGCAAUCGGAAUUCCGGGUGUAGCGGUGAAAUGCGUAGAUAUACGGAGGAACACCAGUGGCGAAGGCGGAUUGCUGGACAGUAACUGACGCUGAGGCGCGAAAGCGUGGGGAGCAAACAGGAUUAGAUACCCCUGUAGUC